AGCCCAAACCAUCCAUGUUACGGCAUGGGUGGGGUUGUAGGACUACGCCGUUGCAUGAAGACAUCAGAGAAGAACUUUCUGGAAAGAAAGACCAUAGAGCAUGACAGUUGCGUAUUCGAAUGUUGUCGAAGCAUAGUAGUAUCCUGAGUAGCGCGGAGCACGAGGAAUUCUGCGUGAAUCUGCCGGGACCAUCCGGUAAGGCUAAAUACUCCCGAGAGACCGAUAGCGAACCAGUACCGUGAGGGAAAGGUGAAAAGCACUUCGAACAGAAGAGUGAAAUAGUUCCUGAAACCGUGCGCCUACAAGCGGUCGGAGCUCGUUAAUGAGUGACGGCGUGCCUUUUGCAUAAUGAACCUACGAGUUGCCUUUGCCGGCAAGGUUAAGUGUGACGACACACGUAUCCGAAGCGAAAGCGAGUCUGAACAGGGCGUAUAGUCGGCAGUGGCAGACGCGAAACCAAGUGAUCUACCCUUGGCCAGGUUGAAGGCUGGGUAACACCAGCUGGAGGACCGCACCAAUAAGCGUUGAAAAGCUUCUGGAUGAGCUGAGGGUAGGGGUGAAAGGCUAAUCAAACUUGGAGAUAGCUCGUACUCCCCGAAAUGCAUUUAGGUGCAGCCUUGCGGGUUACUGAUGUGAGGUAGAGCGACUGAUAAGAUGCGAGGGCUUCACCGCCUAUCAAGUCUUGACAAACUCCGAAUGCGCAUCAGUUCUACCGCAGGAGUGAGGGCAUGGGUGCUAAGGUCCGUGCCCGAGAGGAGAAGAAUCCGGACCACCUGCUAAGGUCCCGAAAUGACAGCUAAGUUAAACUAACGAAGUCUGACUGCUAAGACAGCUAGGAUGUUGGCUUGGAAGCAGCCAUUCAUUUAAAGAGUGCGUAACAGCUCACUAGUCGAGGAGUCGGGCGUGGAUAAUAAUCGGGUAUCAAGUUGUCUACCGAAGCAGUGGGAUCAUUUAUAUGAUCGGUAGGGGAGCAUUCCAGUCGGCGUCGAAGGCGUACCGUGAGGUAUUCUGGAGCGUCUGGAAAAGCAAAUGUAGGUAUAAGUAACGAUAAAGGGGGCGGGAAACCCCCUCGCCGAAAGACUAAGGUUUCCUGAUCAACGCUAAUCGGAUCAGGGUCAGUCGGGUCCUAAGGCUCAGCCGAACGGCGAUGCCGAUGGCAGAAACGGUUAAUAUUCCGUUACUACCUUCAGGAGUGACGUGGAGACGCAGUAGUGACAGUGCCGCCAUCUGACGGAAUAGAUGGUUGAAGGGUGUAGGAGUCGAUCAUGGCAGGCAAAUCCACCAUGAGAUCCGAACCUGACAGUAUGCCGCGUCCUUCGGGACAAGGCAAUAGUGCGCGUAAGCAUGCUGCCGAGAAAAUCCGCUAAACUUAAUCCUGCAGGUACCCGUACCGCAAACGGACACACGUAGUCGGGAUGAAUAUUCUAAGGCGCUUGAGUGAUUCACGGUUAAGGAACUAGGCAAACUGACCCUGUAACUUCGGGAUAAAGGGUCCCUACCCUUUUAUGGGAGGGCGCAGAGAAUCGGUCCAGGCAACUGUUUAACAAAAACACAGGGCUGUGCCAAAUCGAAAGAUCCAGUAUACAGCCUGACACCUGCCCGGUGCUGGAAGGUUAAGAGGAGAUGUCAUCGAUAAGAGAAGCGUUGAAUUGAAGCCCCAGUAAACGGCGGCCGUAACUAUAACGGUCCUAAGGUAGCGAAAUUCCUUGUCGGGUAAGUUCCGACCUGCACGAAUGGUGUAAUGAUCUGGACACUGUCUCAACCGUGAGCUCAGUGAAAUUGUAGUAUCGGUGAAGAUGCCGAUUACCCGCGAUGGGACGAAAAGACCCCGUGAACCUUUACUAUAGCUUAUCAUUGAAUCUGGGCACGUGAUGUGUAGGAUAGGUCGGAGGCUUUGAAGCAGGUACGCCAGUAUUUGUGGAGCCGCUGUUGAAAUACGACCCUUUAUUUGUUUGGAUUCUAACCCGUGGAUACGGGGACAUUGAUUGGUGGGUAGUUUGACUGGGGUGGUCGCCUCCAAAAGCGUAACGGAGGCUUCU
RNAcentral lists this ribosomal RNA (2039 nucleotides) under human gut metagenome. Its description in RNAcentral is "bacterial LSU rRNA". It matches the Rfam family "Bacterial large subunit ribosomal RNA", at positions 266 to 2311 of the family's 2925-position model. The record is from RNAcentral.